This 355-nucleotide transfer-messenger RNA is filed under the name Planctomycetota. Its description in RNAcentral is "JAGOMP01 sp017993505 Standard tmRNA". It matches the Rfam family "transfer-messenger RNA". Rfam says of the family: Bacterial tmRNA, also known as 10Sa RNA or SsrA, is named for its dual tRNA and mRNA-like properties. Its role is to liberate the mRNA from a stalled ribosome. RNAcentral also lists the same sequence under 1 other name. Lineage: Bacteria; Pseudomonadati. The record is from RNAcentral.
GGGGGCGACCAGGUAUCGACUGGGUAAUGUUGUGGUAGAAGUGGCGUUCCGAGGGUUCAGGUGGCCUCGUUAAAACCUGAAUAUAAAUAAUUUUAAGUGCGGAAGCACCUGUAAGAAUGGCUGCCUAAUUUUCAGCCACGUCACUGUUCCUAAUCUUGCGGGGGGCAAGUCGACGCUAAUAGCAAGAUAGCUUAAGUAAAGUGCCUUGGUAUACUUUCGCGAAUGACACAGGGCUAGCAUAAAAACGGUCUGUUUAUAAGCCAUUUCUAUGCGAAAAACAAUUUAUAAACUAUGAUCGUAGAGGCUUUUAUCAGGCUACUACAGGACGCGGGUUCGAUUCCCGCCGCCUCCACCA